RNAcentral lists this microRNA (17 nucleotides) under Corchorus olitorius. Its description in RNAcentral is "hsa-miR-441". The record is from RNAcentral. Lineage: Eukaryota; Viridiplantae; Streptophyta; Magnoliopsida; Malvales; Malvaceae.
UGAGGGAGGAGAAUGAA